AUAGCCUAACGGCUGAACCAGCAACUUGGAGGAAUGUAUAGCAAUUGCUAUUUGCGCUAAUAUUUUAGUGUAAAAUCGACUAUGUCGCAUAAAAUUCUGGAUAGAAUUAUGAUAAUGACAUUAUCUAUUUAUAAGUCUUGACCAAAUUACGUGCCAGCAGUCGCGGUAAUACGUAGAAGACAAGUGUUAUUCAUCUUUAAUAGGUUUAAAGGGUACUUAGACGGUAAAUAAAGCCUCAAAAAGGGACUAGUUUGCUAGAGUUUUAUAUGAAGGGGUUUUAAAGUACUACUGGUGUAGAGAUGAAAUUCAGUUAUACCUUACAUGGCACAGGUUAAGGCGAAAGCAUCUUCUUAUGUAAAAACUGACGUUGAAGGACGAAGGCUUUGUGUCUCGAACAGGAUUAGAUACCCUAGUAGUCUAAGCAGAAAAUCAUGAAUGUCAUAGAUUAGAUAUAAUUUGAUCUAUAAAUGAUAGUGUAAGCAUUCCACCUCAAGAGUAAUUUGGCAACAUUGGAACUGAAAUCAUUAGACCGUUUCUGAAACCAGUAGUGAAGUAUGUUGUUUAAUUUGAUAAUCCGCAAAAAACCUUACCACAAUUUGAAUAGAUAUAUUUUAUCAUACAGGCGUUGCACGGCUGUUUUUAGUUAAUGUCGUGAGACUUUGGUUAGUUCCAUUAAAUUAACGUAAACCCUUACUUUAUUUUUAUAUAAAGUAGUUCACCGCUAGAUUGGAUGUGAUAAUAGGGAUCAAGACAAGUCAUCAUGACCUAAAUAUUGU
RNAcentral lists this ribosomal RNA (776 nucleotides) under Xanthoria calcicola. RNAcentral describes it as "mitochondrial SSU rRNA". It matches the Rfam family "Bacterial small subunit ribosomal RNA", at positions 371 to 1210 of the family's 1533-position model. The record is from RNAcentral. Lineage: Eukaryota; Fungi; Ascomycota; Lecanoromycetes; Teloschistales; Teloschistaceae.